RNAcentral lists this ribosomal RNA (460 nucleotides) under uncultured bacterium. Its description in RNAcentral is "partial 16S ribosomal RNA". It matches the Rfam family "Bacterial small subunit ribosomal RNA", at positions 338 to 795 of the family's 1533-position model. The record is from RNAcentral.
CCUACGGGAGGCAGCAGUGAGGAAUAUUGGUCAAUGGACGAGAGUCUGAACCAGCCAAGUAGCGUGAAGGAUGACUGCCCUAUGGGUUGUAAACUUCUUUUAUAAAGGAAUAAAACGAGGCACGUGUGCCUUUUUGCAUGUACUUUAUGAAUAAGGAUCGGCUAACUCCGUGCCAGCAGCCGCGGUAAUACGGAGGAUCCGAGCGUUAUCCGGAUUUAUUGGGUUUAAAGGGAGCGUAGAUGGGUUGUUAAGUCAGUUGUGAAAGUUUGCGGCUCAACCGUAAAAUUGCAAUUGAUACUGGCAGUCUAGAGUACAGUUGAGGUAGGCGGAAUGCGUGGUGUAGCGGUGAAAUGCUUAGAUAUCACGAAGAACCCCGAUUGCGAAGGCAGCUUACUAAACUGUGACUGACAUUGAUGCUCGAAAGUGUGGGUAUCAAACAGGAUUAGAUACCCUUGUAGUC